UCUAGUGAUGCCCACACUAGGCAAUGCCUGUAUCGUGGGCACCGAUAUUAAAUCCACAAAAUUACAAAACCCACACUCACGACAUUUUAGCAUUUAACAAUUAUCAGUUACUCCGGUAUACAUAUAAUAAAAAAACAAAAUUUAAGUAAAUGAAAAGAAAAAUAACUUAAGUUUGAAAUAUUUUCUUCAAAGUUGAAUUUAACAUUUAAACUUGAAAACUUUACUACAAACUACAUAGGUAUCUACAGAUGAAGAGACUUUAGAAAAGGCGAUUCUCUGGGGACCGAGUUGUGACUCCACGGAUCGCAUUAUGGAAAAUUUCACGAUACUUUUGCCACAAUGUUCACCGAGCGAUUGGCUCAUAUUACCAAUCCAAGGCGCGUAUUCAUUCGGAUUUGCUACUCACUUCUCUUGCCUACCAAUGACAAGAACAAGAAUUGUAAUUAGUUCUGAACUUUGGUACAAACUGAAAGAUAGCAAAGUUUUCAAGACGUCCGAUUUUGUAGUGAAGCCGGAUAUAAAUGAGCCCCUUCCAACUACAAUGCCAAAAGUUAUUACAGAAAACAUUACGACAGAUGUUAAGAGUCUGUUUUUAUUAGCAUAAAUAUAGCACAGCAUCUAUUAAAUUGAUAAUUUACUUAU
Papilio xuthus (Asian swallowtail) is the source of this 642-nucleotide long non-coding RNA. RefSeq lists it as uncharacterized. The transcript is spliced from 2 exons. The record is from RefSeq and is a predicted model, not a curated record. Lineage: Eukaryota; Metazoa; Arthropoda; Insecta; Lepidoptera; Papilionidae.